This 253-nucleotide ribosomal RNA is filed under the name uncultured bacterium. RNAcentral describes it as "partial 16S ribosomal RNA". It matches the Rfam family "Bacterial small subunit ribosomal RNA", at positions 524 to 776 of the family's 1533-position model. The record is from RNAcentral.
UACGUAGGGGGCAAGCGUUGUCCGGAAUCAUUGGGCGUAAAGCGCGCGUAGGCGGCUCGAUCAGUCUGCUGUGAAAGUCAAAGGCUCAACCUUUGAAUGCCGGUGGAUACUGUCGAGCUAGAGUCCGGAAGAGGCGAGUGGAAUUCCUGGUGUAGCGGUGGAAUGCGCAGAUAUCAGGAGGAACACCAACGGCGAAGGCAGCGCGCUGGGACGGUACUGACGCUAAGGCGCGAAAGCGUGGGGAGCGAACAGG